GUUAAAAAGCUCGUAGUUGGAUUUCUGUUGAGGACGGCCGGUCCGCACUAUGUGCGUGUAUCUGGUUCGGCCUCGGCAUCCUCUCGAAAGCCGUUUCUGCGCUUGAUUGCGUGGUUCGGACUUCGGGACUUUUACUUUGAGGAAAUUAGAGUGUUCACGGCAGGCAAGCGCCUUGAAUAUAUUAGCAUGGAAUAAUAAUAUAGGAUCUUGGUCCUAUUUUGUUGGUUUCUAGGGCUAAGAUAAUGAUUAAUAGGGACAAUUGGGGGCAUUCGUAUUAACGCGUCAGAGGUGGAAUUCUUGGAUUGCGUUACGACGAACUACUGCGAAAGCAUUUGCCAAGGAUGUUUUCAUUGAUCAAGAACGAAAGUAAGGGGAUCGAAGAUGAUUAGAUACCGUCGUAGUCUUUACCAUAAACUAUGCCAACUAGAGAUGGGGCUGCGGUUUAUUUAUGACCCGCUCCGCACCUUAUGAGAAAUCAAAGUCUUUGGGUUCCGGGGGGAGUAUGGUCGCAAGGCUGAAACUUAAAGGAAUUGACGGAAGGGCACCACCAGGAGUGGAGCCUGCGGCUUAAUUUGACUCAACACGGGAAAACUUACCAGGUCCAGACAUAGUAAGGACUGACAGAUUGAUAGCUCUUUCUUGAUUCUAUGGGUGGUGGUGCAU
This 663-nucleotide ribosomal RNA is filed under the name uncultured marine eukaryote. RNAcentral's name for it is "SSU rRNA". It matches the Rfam family "Eukaryotic small subunit ribosomal RNA", at positions 618 to 1285 of the family's 1831-position model. The record is from RNAcentral.